AUGCUCCCGAGGGCGGCCGGGGUGGGAAAACGCAAAGGAUCCCGGAAUCCAGGUGUUGCCCACGCGUGGCCGUGUCGGUCGCGGUGCCCGUGUCUGGCUCUGCCGCCCAUCCCRGGGGACAAGUCCCCUCCAGGCGAACGGUUCCCGGAGCCCCAGCUAUCCGCGGGCGGAUGGUGGGGUGUGAUGGAGCCGGUGGGAUCUCCGAGGUGCCGUGGGAGCGGGUGGGAAAGGCCGGAGGCGGCUGCCAGGGGGCGGGUGCUGAGCGCCGUGGGUGAGACGUGGGGCUUGGUGCUGGGAGGAUCGGAGAGCGGGAGAGGGGAGGUGGGAGACGGGGGAGAUGGGGGAGGCAGGAGACGGGAUAGAUGGGAGAUGGGAGAUGGGAGACAGGAGACAGAAGAUGGGAGAUGGGAGACAGUGGAGAUGGGAGACAGGGGAGAUGGGAGACGGGAGAUGGGGGAGAUGGGAGACGGGACAUGGGAGACAGCAGAGAUGGGAAAUGGGAGAUGGGAGACAGGAGAUGGAAGAUGGGAGAGAUGGGGGACAGGAGAUGGGAUACGGGAUAUGGGAGAGAUGGGAGAUGGAAGACAGGAGAUGGGAGAGAUGGGAGAUGGUGGAGAUGGAAGACAGGAGAUGGGAGAUGGUGGAGAUGGGAGAUGGGAUACGGGAGAGAUGGGAAACGGGAGAUGGGAGACAGUGGAGAUGGGAAAUGGGAGAUGGGAGGUGGGAGAUGAGGGAGAUGGGGGAGAGGGAAACGGGAGAGAUGGAGGAGACGGGAGAUGGGAGAUGGGAGAAAUGGGAGAUGGCAGAGAUGGGAGAUGGGGGAAGUGGGAGAUGAGGGAGAUGGGAGAUAGGAGACGGGAGAGGGGGCGGAUGGGAUGUGGGGAGACGGGAGAGACAAGAGAUGGGGGAGACGGGAGACGGGACACAGUCAAGACGGCCGCGGCGGCACCUCCCGGCUCAGCCCAACUCCGGCUCCCCCAGCUCCCCGCAGCCGUCGUGGCGGGAUGA
RNAcentral lists this long non-coding RNA (1008 nucleotides) under Apteryx haastii (Great spotted kiwi). RNAcentral describes it as "lncRNA (ENSAHAG00000018193.1)". The record is from RNAcentral. Lineage: Eukaryota; Metazoa; Chordata; Aves; Apterygiformes; Apterygidae.